UCCCCUACCUGAAAUGCAGCUAGUGCGGCUC
Molecule: non-coding RNA, 31 nt
Filed under: Homo sapiens (human)
Lineage: Eukaryota; Metazoa; Chordata; Mammalia; Primates; Hominidae
Source: RNAcentral